RNAcentral lists this ribosomal RNA (250 nucleotides) under uncultured Thauera sp. Its description in RNAcentral is "partial 16S ribosomal RNA". It matches the Rfam family "Bacterial small subunit ribosomal RNA", at positions 1132 to 1382 of the family's 1533-position model. Lineage: Bacteria; Pseudomonadati; Pseudomonadota; Betaproteobacteria; Rhodocyclales; Zoogloeaceae. The record is from RNAcentral.
UUGGCACUCUAAUGAGACUGCCGGUGACAAACCGGAGGAAGUGGGGAUGACGUCAAGUCCUCAUGGCCCUUAUGGGUAGGGCUUCACACGUCAUACAAUGGUCGGUACAGAGGGUUGCCAAGCCGCGAGGUGGAGCCAAUCCCUUAAAGCCGAUCGUAGUCCGGAUCGUAGUCUGCAACUCGACUACGUGAAGUCGGAAUCGCUAGUAAUCGCAGAUCAGCAUGCUGCGGUGAAUACGUUCCCGGGUCUU